RNAcentral lists this unclassified non-coding RNA (345 nucleotides) under soil metagenome. RNAcentral describes it as "partial contains 5.8S ribosomal RNA, internal transcribed spacer 2, and large subunit ribosomal RNA". The stretch from base 1 to 120 matches the Rfam family "5.8S ribosomal RNA", at positions 35 to 154 of the family's 154-position model. The record is from RNAcentral.
GAUGAAGAACGUAGCGAAAUGCGAUACGUAAUGUGAAUUGCAGAAUUCAGUGAAUCAUCGAGUCUUUGAACGCACAUUGCGCCCCCUGGUAUUCCGGGGGGCAUGCCUGUCCGAGCGUCAUUGCUGCCCUCAAGCACGGCUUGUGUGUUGGGCCUCCGUCCUCCUCCCGGGAGACGGGCCCGAAAGGCAGCGGCGGCACCGCGUCCGGUCCUCGAGCGUAUGGGGCUUCGUCACCCGCUCUUGUAGGCCCGGCCGGCGCUUGCCGACACAUCAAUCUUUUUUCCAGGUUGACCUCGGAUCAGGUAGGGAUACCCGCUGAACUUAAGCAUAUCAAUAAGCGGAGGA